This 252-nucleotide ribosomal RNA is filed under the name uncultured bacterium. Its description in RNAcentral is "partial 16S ribosomal RNA". It matches the Rfam family "Bacterial small subunit ribosomal RNA", at positions 524 to 776 of the family's 1533-position model. The record is from RNAcentral.
UACGUAGGUGGCGAGCGUUGUCCGGAUUUACCGGGCGUAAAGCGAGCGCAGGUGGUUUAUUAAGUCUGGUGUAAAAGGCAGUGGCUCAACCAUUGUAUGCAUUGGAAACUGGUAGACUUGAGUGCAGGAGAGGAGAGUGGAAUUCCAUGUGUAGCGGUGAAAUGCGUAGAUAUAUGGAGGAACACCGGUGGCGAAAGCGGCUCUCUGGCCUGUAACUGACACUGAGGCUCGAAAGCGUGGGGAGCAAACAGG